RNAcentral lists this ribosomal RNA (253 nucleotides) under uncultured prokaryote. RNAcentral's name for it is "partial 16S ribosomal RNA". It matches the Rfam family "Bacterial small subunit ribosomal RNA", at positions 525 to 777 of the family's 1533-position model. The record is from RNAcentral.
ACGAAGGGUGCAAGCGUUACUCGGAAUUACUGGGCGUAAAGCGUGCGUAGGUGGUUUGUUAAGUCUGAUGUGAAAGCCCUGGGCUCAACCUGGGAACUGCAUUGGAUACUGGCUUACUGGGGUGCGGUAGAGGGGUGCGGAAUUCCCGGUGUAGCAGUGAAAUGCGUAGAUAUCGGGAGGAACAUCCGUGGCGAAGGCGGCACCCUGGGCCAGCACUGACACUGAGGCACGAAAGCGUGGGGAGCAAACAGGA